CACGUAGGGCGCAAGCGUUGUCCGGAAUUAUUGGGCGUAAAGAGCUCGUAGGCGGUCUGUUGCGUCCGCUGUGAAAACUCGGGGCUUAACCCCGAGCCUGCAGUGGAUACGGGCAGACUAGAGUGCGGUAGGGGAGACUGGAGUUCCUGGUGUAGCGGUGAAAUGCGCAGAUAUCAGGAGGAACACCGGUGGCGAAGGCGGGUCUCUGGGCCGUAACUGACGCUGAGGAGCGAAAGCAUGGGUAGCAAACAGG
This 253-nucleotide ribosomal RNA is filed under the name uncultured bacterium. RNAcentral's name for it is "partial 16S ribosomal RNA". It matches the Rfam family "Bacterial small subunit ribosomal RNA", at positions 524 to 776 of the family's 1533-position model. The record is from RNAcentral.